Molecule: ribosomal RNA, 493 nt
Filed under: uncultured bacterium
Lineage: Bacteria
Description: bacterial SSU rRNA
Rfam family: Bacterial small subunit ribosomal RNA
Source: RNAcentral
CGCUGGCGGCGUGCCUAAUACAUGCAAGUCGAGCGGACUAAUUAAGAGCUUGCUCUUAUGAGGUUAGCGGCGGACGGGUGAGUAACACGUGGGCAACCUGCCCUGUAGACUGGGAUAACAUCGAGAAAUCGGUGCUAAUACCGGAUAAUUGUUGGAACUGCAUAGUUCUAACUUAAAAGAUGGCUCCGGCUAUCACUAUAGGAUGGGCCCGCGGCGCAUUAGCUAGUUGGUAAGGUAAUGGCUUACCAAGGCGACGAUGCGUAGCCGACCUGAGAGGGUGAUCGGCCACACUGGGACUGAGACACGGCCCAGACUCCUACGGGAGGCAGCAGUAGGGAAUCUUCCGCAAUGGACGAAAGUCUGACGGAGCAACGCCGCGUGAGUGAUGAAGGUUUUCGGAUCGUAAAGCUCUGUUGUUAGGGAAGAACAAGUGCCGUUCGAAUAGGGCGGCACCUUGACGGUACCUAACCAGAAAGCCACGGCUAACUACGUG